UGCAUUCACUACUGUAAGUCGCUUUGGAUAAGAGCGUCUGCUAAAUGACUCAAA
This is a non-coding RNA of Salmo salar (Atlantic salmon), 54 nucleotides long. Lineage: Eukaryota; Metazoa; Chordata; Actinopteri; Salmoniformes; Salmonidae. The record is from Rfam.